This 848-nucleotide long non-coding RNA is filed under the name Homo sapiens (human). Its description in RNAcentral is "non-protein coding lnc-EPHA2-4:1". Lineage: Eukaryota; Metazoa; Chordata; Mammalia; Primates; Hominidae. The record is from RNAcentral.
CCCUCCUAUCCCUGCAUGAAUCCUGGCAUGACCCCGGACACCCAAGAAAGUGCACCUUUGACAAUGGUGCACCAGGUCAUGGUGGCACCUCUCCCCUUGGUGGUGGCAUCUGGGGCCCUUGCACACAGGGGACAAGGAACCUGAAGUGAAGGGGAGUUGACCUAUUGAGGCCACACUGAGGACAGUCCCUCUCACUUUGGGAGAGGAGAUGGCACUCCUGGUCUGAUGUUCCAGAAUUCCUCUCCAUGGAAGGAGAGGAGAACACCAUAACAUAUUAGAGCAGAGAGGGGAUCCGCGGCAAAGGCAAGGCUUCUGUUACAAAGAUGGGGAAAGAGUUUUCCAGUCGUGUAUUUAUUUUUGAGCAGGCCAUUGAUGCCUAUGGUGCAACAGACCACAGGGAGAAUACACAGGGAAGCUGCUGUGCCCCCCACCAAGAGGUUCCCAGUCUUCCUGUCCCCAACCCCUCCCCAGCUCCUCAUCCAGGUCCCUUGCCCUCUGCUCAGCACAAGGCAUGCUGGCGGCCACAGACAUAUCUACUGACAUGAACACACGCCCCCCACCUACACUGCGCUGGCUGGGGGAUACCACAGGGGCCUAACUAGGGAACAUGUGAAAGGUGGCAAGAAUGGACAAGUGGCCUGUGGCAUGAUGGAUGGGCUGGCAGACAGAUGGAUGGAUGGGUUGGUAGACAGACAGACAGAUGGAGCCGCUAGGAGGUGACUACCUGGCUGGGGAGGCCUGUCUGAGAAGUGAUGGAUGGGAUGCAGAGGGGGCUGAGAGGGGCUGGGCCAAGGUGGGAAGGAAGGAAGAAGGAAGGAAGGAAGGAUGGAUGGCUGGAUGGAUGGAUG